GGCUCGGUAGUGCCAGACGGUCCACACACGCAAUUUAUAUCGUCGACUAUUCUGUGUUGGUGCGAGUAUCGCUUGUUCGACUCGGGCCCGAGCCA
Non-coding RNA from Mycena capillaripes, 95 nucleotides. NCBI's taxonomy places the organism in Eukaryota, Fungi, Basidiomycota, Agaricomycetes, Agaricales, Mycenaceae. The record is from the annotation of a GenBank genome assembly.